Molecule: ribosomal RNA, 453 nt
Filed under: uncultured Sphingomonas sp.
Lineage: Bacteria; Pseudomonadati; Pseudomonadota; Alphaproteobacteria; Sphingomonadales; Sphingomonadaceae
Description: partial 16S ribosomal RNA
Source: RNAcentral
CACGGAGUUAGCCGGGGCUUAUUCUCCCGGUACAGUCAUUAUCUUCCCGGGUAAAAGAGCUUUACAACCCUAGGGCCUUCAUCACUCACGCGGCAUUGCUGGAUCAGGCUUUCGCCCAUUGUCCAAUAUUCCCCACUGCUGCCUCCCGUAGGAGUCUGGGCCGUGUCUCAGUCCCAGUGUGGCUGAUCAUCCUCUCAGACCAGCUAUGGAUCGUCGGCUUGGUAGGCCUUUACCCCACCAACUACCUAAUCCAACGCGGGCUCAUCCUCAGGCAAUAAAUCUUUGGACUUUCGUCAUCAUCCGGUAUUAGCAGCCGUUUCCAGCUGUUAUUCCGAACCUAAGGGCAGAUUCCCACGCGUUACGCACCCGUGCGCCACUAAGGCCGAAGCCUUCGUUCGACUUGCAUGUGUUAGGCAUGCCGCCAGCGUUCGUUCUGAGCCAGGAUCAAACUCU